UAUCUGAAACGAAUGGUGAAAGAAACAUAUCAAAGUCGGAGGCGGAGGCGCCUAUUAUUCUGGUAUUUAUUGCUGAAAUUGACAAGUACUUCAGGCAUGAUGGGGAAAGGCAUCCCCCUCUGACUCCGUUCUGUGAUAAAUCGUGCAAUACGCAGGUGCACAGACUUGGGAGACCGCGCAGACAUGGGGGUACUGACCAUACUGUGGAAAAUUUCUUGACAAAUGAACAGGGUAGCACUGGGCUUCGUUCAAG
Lytechinus variegatus (green sea urchin) is the source of this 253-nucleotide long non-coding RNA. RefSeq lists it as uncharacterized. The transcript has 2 exons. The record is from RefSeq and is a predicted model, not a curated record. NCBI's taxonomy places the organism in Eukaryota, Metazoa, Echinodermata, Echinoidea, Temnopleuroida, Toxopneustidae.